AGAAUCAACGCUGGCGGCGUGCCUCAGACAUGCAAGUCGAACGCGAAAGUCCCCUUCGGGGGAUGAGUAGAGUGGCGCUCGGGUGAGUAACACGUAGGUAAUCUACCUUUGGGUGGGGAAUAACAGCCGGAAACGGCUGCUAAUACCGCAUAAUGCAGCGGCUCGACAUCGAGACAGUUGUUAAAGCGGGGGAUCGAAAGACCUCGCGUCUGAAGAGGAGCCUGCGGCGGAUUAGCUAGUUGGUAAGGUAAUGGCUUACCAAGGCUACGAUCC
This 273-nucleotide ribosomal RNA is filed under the name uncultured bacterium. Its description in RNAcentral is "partial small subunit ribosomal RNA". It matches the Rfam family "Bacterial small subunit ribosomal RNA", at positions 26 to 282 of the family's 1533-position model. The record is from RNAcentral.